This 274-nucleotide long non-coding RNA is filed under the name Elaeis guineensis (African oil palm). RNAcentral's name for it is "long non-coding RNA (EGUI_LNC046092)". The record is from RNAcentral. Lineage: Eukaryota; Viridiplantae; Streptophyta; Magnoliopsida; Arecales; Arecaceae.
GUGUAUUAUACUCCUUUUCUAUCAAAAGAGAGAGGAAGGAAAGAAUGGUAGGCUAUAUGCAAAAUUAAGUCUCGGGCCGUUCAUUACGCACUCGAAGAAGAAGAAAAGUCCCAUUUAUCAGAAUACUUUUAGGAGGAUGAAACAUCUGGAGUUCAUCAGUCUUUCAUAGAUACAAAGUUGGAUGCUCCAGAUUUUCUCCUACGUGAUAGCCAACAUGAGGAGGUAGAUAAUUCUAAGUUUGUUUUAAAGGAUAAUCCUAUCCAAGAAGGGGAAG